This 75-nucleotide transfer RNA is filed under the name Magnetovibrio sp. Its description in RNAcentral is "tRNA-Val". It matches the Rfam family "tRNA". From Rfam's summary of the family: Transfer RNA (tRNA) molecules are approximately 80 nucleotides in length. Their secondary structure includes four short double-helical elements and three loops (D, anti-codon, and T loops). Further hydrogen bonds mediate the characteristic L-shaped molecular structure. tRNAs have two regions of fundamental functional importance: the anti-codon, which is responsible for specific mRNA codon recognition, and the 3' end, to which the tRNAs corresponding amino acid is attached (by aminoacyl-tRNA synthetases). tRNAs cope with the degeneracy of the genetic code in two manners: having more than one tRNA (with a specific anti-codon) for a particular amino acid; and 'wobble' base-pairing, i.e. permitting non-standard base-pairing at the 3rd anti-codon position. Lineage: Bacteria; Pseudomonadati; Pseudomonadota; Alphaproteobacteria; Rhodospirillales; Magnetovibrionaceae. The record is from RNAcentral.
GGGUGCGUAGCUCAGCGGGAGAGCACUGCAUUGACAUUGCAGGGGUCACUGGUUCAAUCCCAGUCGUGCCCACCA